Non-coding RNA from Acanthosepion pharaonis, 108 nucleotides. The record is from the annotation of a GenBank genome assembly. NCBI's taxonomy places the organism in Eukaryota, Metazoa, Mollusca, Cephalopoda, Sepiida, Sepiidae.
UUACGCCCACAUCACGUUGAAACACCGGUUCACGUACGAUCAGCGAAGUUAAUCAACGUCCAGCCUGGUCAGUAUGGGUAACCACCUGAGAAUAUCACGUGCUGUAAU